This 777-nucleotide long non-coding RNA is filed under the name Homo sapiens (human). Its description in RNAcentral is "non-protein coding lnc-TENM3-1:1". Lineage: Eukaryota; Metazoa; Chordata; Mammalia; Primates; Hominidae. The record is from RNAcentral.
CAACGGCACCAGGGAAACAGUAGAAAGGAGAGGAACGUAGAGUCGUUAUGAGUCUGUGAAAUUUGGGAAAUUAAAUGAAAAGUCCACUGUGCCCUCCACUCAGCCUCUCCCUCUUGGAAGGCAGAGCUGCGGGGGGAAAGGCUGAAAUCAGCUUCAUUUCCCUCCAUUCCUGACUCUAACAAUACAGGAGAAUCAAGGUCAGAAAACAUGCAGAGAACACGCUCACAGUAUGGAGUUUCUUCUAAGUAAUACUUUUCUGAUUCAUUUUAUUACAAAAUUAAAUAGUUGAUCCAUUUGAACUCUCAUGAAUAGAUAUUAAAUGUUGCUUAUUAUAAGAAUGCUAAUAAAUCAUUAGUUUUUUUAAUAAAAAAAAUUAACCACCAAAUGGCUAACAAAUUAAAUUUAAAUCAUUAAGUCUGAUAUUCCUAGAGAGGAUCACAGGGGGUGGUACAUUAGAGAACCUGUUUUUAUUUUGUUUGGUUUUAAACACAAAGAGCCCGUGCUGGCUGCUGGCUCGAGCCUCCCUGGCCCCUUUCCAGACAGCAGCGAGCAUCUGUGAGGCAGCUGACCAGGCGGAGCGGCCGUUUGGAGGGUGGCCGGGCUACCUGGGCUACGGGGCCGAGUCCGUGACCUCAGCCUCAUUAGUCCUGGCUCUAACCAGCCGCGCUAAUCAGCGCCAACAUGUGCUGCUCAGGUGUUGAUUGCUCUGUUGCUCAUCACCCCUUCUAGGGCUGCCACACGUAAUUAAAAGCUCUACCGCGAAGAUGGCCAAUCAGC